GAUGAACGCUGGCGGCGUGCCUAAUACAUGCAAGUCGAGCGAACGGACGAGAAGCUUGCUUCUCUGAUGUUAGCGGCGGACGGGUGAGUAACACGUGGAUAACCUACCUAUAAGACUGGGAUAACUUCGGGAAACCGGAGCUAAUACCGGAUAAUAUUUUGAACCGCAUGGUUCAAAAGUGAAAGACGGUCUUGCUGUCACUUAUAGAUGGAUCCGCGCUGCAUUAGCUAGUUGGUAAGGUAACGGCUUACCAAGGCAACGAUGCAUAGCCGACCUGAGAGGGUGAUCGGCCACACUGGAACGGAGACAGGGUCCAGACUCCUACGGGAGGCAGCAGUAGGGAAUCUUCCGCAAUGGGCGAAAGCCUGACGGAGCAACGCCGCGUGAGUGAUGAAGGUCUUCGGAUCGUAAAACUCUGUUAUUAGGGAAGAACAUAUGUGUAAGUAACUGUGCACAUCUUGACGGUACCUAAUCAGAAAGCCACGGCUAACUACGUG
This 497-nucleotide ribosomal RNA is filed under the name uncultured bacterium. Its description in RNAcentral is "partial 16S ribosomal RNA". It matches the Rfam family "Bacterial small subunit ribosomal RNA", at positions 28 to 507 of the family's 1533-position model. The record is from RNAcentral.